This 329-nucleotide unclassified non-coding RNA is filed under the name soil metagenome. RNAcentral describes it as "partial contains 5.8S ribosomal RNA, internal transcribed spacer 2, and large subunit ribosomal RNA". The stretch from base 1 to 120 matches the Rfam family "5.8S ribosomal RNA", at positions 35 to 154 of the family's 154-position model. The record is from RNAcentral.
GAUGAAGAACGCAGCGAAAUGCGAUAAGUAAUGUGAAUUGCAGAAUUCAGUGAAUCAUCGAAUCUUUGAACGCACAUUGCGCCCCCUGGUAUUCCGGGGGGCAUGCCUGUCCGAGCGUCAUUACAACCCUCAAGCUCAGCUUGGUGUUGGGCCCCGCCGCCCCGGCGGGCCCUAAAGUCAGUGGCGGUGCCGUCCGGCUCCGAGCGUAGUAAUUCUUCUCGCUCUGGAGGUCCGGUCGUGUGCUCGCCAGCAACCCCCAACUUUUUUCAGGUUGACCUCGGAUCAGGUAGGGAUACCCGCUGAACUUAAGCAUAUCAAUAAGCGGAGGA